AGCGAACGCUGGCGGCAGGCCUAACACAUGCAAGUCGAACGAACUCUUCGGAGUUAGUGGCGGACGGGUGAGUAACACGUGGGAACGUGCCUUUUGGUUCGGAAUAACUCAGGGAGACUUGUGCUAAUACCGAAUGUGCCCUUCGGGGGAAAGAUUUAUCGCCAUUAGAGCGGCCCGCGUCUGAUUAGCUAGUUGGUGAGGUAACGGCUCACCAAGGCGACGAUCAGUAGCUGGUCUGAGAGGAUGACCAGCCACACUGGGACUGAGACACGGCCCAGACUCCUACGGGAGGCAGCAGUGGGGAAUCUUGCGCAAUGGGCGAAAGCCUGACGCAGCCAUGCCGCGUGAAUGAUGAAGGUCUUAGGAUUGUAAAAUUCUUUCACCGGGGACGAUAAUGACGGUACCCGGAGAAGAAGCCCCGGCUAACUUCGUG
Molecule: ribosomal RNA, 433 nt
Filed under: uncultured bacterium
Lineage: Bacteria
Description: partial 16S ribosomal RNA
Rfam family: Bacterial small subunit ribosomal RNA
Source: RNAcentral